GCGUGUUCAGUUUCGGGCCAUCUGUCUUA
Molecule: non-coding RNA, 29 nt
Filed under: Cricetulus griseus (Chinese hamster)
Lineage: Eukaryota; Metazoa; Chordata; Mammalia; Rodentia; Cricetidae
Source: RNAcentral